GUUCAUUACCAUUAAUUUUUAUCAAUAAGAAGCUAUAUCCAUAACAUGCUAUAUCGAUCAAGGAGUUCUCAGGGCUACCAACCUUACAGUAGGGGAUGAGAAGUAGUAUAUUUCUUCUACAUUA
Molecule: small nucleolar RNA, 124 nt
Filed under: Meriones unguiculatus (Mongolian gerbil)
Lineage: Eukaryota; Metazoa; Chordata; Mammalia; Rodentia; Muridae
Description: Small nucleolar RNA U109 (ENSMUGG00000011517.1)
Rfam family: Small nucleolar RNA U109
Source: RNAcentral